RNAcentral lists this ribosomal RNA (500 nucleotides) under uncultured bacterium. RNAcentral describes it as "partial 16S ribosomal RNA". It matches the Rfam family "Bacterial small subunit ribosomal RNA", at positions 30 to 523 of the family's 1533-position model. The record is from RNAcentral.
AUUGAACGCUGGCGGCAGGCCUAACACAUGCAAGUCGAGCGGAUGACGGGAGCUUGCUCCUUGAUUCAGCGGCGGACGGGUGAGUAAUGCCUAGGAAUCUGCCUGGUAGUGGGGGACAACGUUUCGAAAGGAACGCUAAUACCGCAUACGUCCUACGGGAGAAAGCAGGGGACCUUCGGGCCUUGCGCUAUCAGAUGAGCCUAGGUCGGAUUAGCUAGUUGGUGAGGUAAUGGCUCACCAAGGCGACGAUCCGUAACUGGUCUGAGAGGAUGAUCAGUCACACUGGAACUGAGACACGGUCCAGACUCCUACGGGAGGCAGCAGUGGGGAAUAUUGGACAAUGGGCGAAAGCCUGAUCCAGCCAUGCCGCGUGUGUGAAGAAGGUCUUCGGAUUGUAAAGCACUUUAAGUUGGGAGGAAGGGCAGUAAGCUAAUACCUUGCUGUUUUGACGUUACCGACAGAAUAAGCACCGGCUAACACUGUGCCAGCCGCCGCCGUAA